GAUGAACGCUGGCGGCGUGCUUAACACAUGCGAGUCGAACGAUGAAGCCCAGCUUGCUGGGUGGAUUAGUGGCGAACGGGUGAGUAACACGUGAGUAACCUGCCCUUAACUCUGGGAUAAGCCUGGGAAACUGGGUCUAAUACCGGAUAGGAGCGCCUACCGCAUGGUGGGUGUUGGAAAGAUUUAUCGGUUUUGGAUGGACUCGCGGCCUAUCAGCUUGUUGGUGAGGUAAUGGCUCACCAAGGCGACGACGGGUAGCCGGCCUGAGAGGGUGACCGGCCACACUGGGACUGAGACACGGCCCCGACUCCUACGGGAGGCAGCAGUGGGGAAUAUUGCACAAUGGGCGAAAGCCUGAUGCAGCGACGCCGCGUGAGGGAUGACGGCCUUCGGGUUGUAAACCUCUUUCAGUAGGGAAGAAGCGAAAGUGACGGUACCUGCAGAAGAAGCACCGGCUAACUACGUG
This 466-nucleotide ribosomal RNA is filed under the name uncultured bacterium. Its description in RNAcentral is "partial 16S ribosomal RNA". It matches the Rfam family "Bacterial small subunit ribosomal RNA", at positions 28 to 507 of the family's 1533-position model. The record is from RNAcentral.